AUGAAUUGCAUAGUGUGGAACUGUCAGGGCGCGGGGAACGCAUCGACAGUUCGCGAUCUGCAGGCUCUCUCUCGAGCCCAUCCCCCGAGUAUGAUUUUCUUAUGUGAAACUAGGCAGAAAAAAGAGAAAAUGUAUCGUCUUCGUAAUAGAUUGAGUCUUAGUGGUUUUGAAGGUGUUAGUAGUGAGGGUAAUAGUGGAGGGUUAGCUUUAUUUUGGCAUGAGUCUCUG
Molecule: ribosomal RNA, 228 nt
Filed under: Triticum aestivum (bread wheat)
Lineage: Eukaryota; Viridiplantae; Streptophyta; Magnoliopsida; Poales; Poaceae
Description: partial small subunit ribosomal RNA
Source: RNAcentral